Molecule: long non-coding RNA, 4851 nt
Organism: Dermochelys coriacea (leatherback sea turtle)
Lineage: Eukaryota; Metazoa; Chordata; Testudines; Dermochelyidae
Exons: 2
Source: RefSeq, a predicted model, not a curated record
UCCAAGAAUUCGCCUGGGCUCGCUGUUGGAGGUCAACAGUUGUUGAACCUGAGUCUGGUUCCCUGCUCCCUCCCCCAGCGUGCACCUCAUCAUGAUGACCUGCCCUUUGCAGUACCCUGGAACUAUCCAGCACCACCCGCAGGCCUCAGCGGAAGAGAGCCAGGGCAACAGACCUGGCCCUUCCCUGGCAGGCCUAGCAUUGACUGCAUCGAGAGGUGGCUUUUGAUCCUUUGUCCUGCAGGCCGGAAUGCCCUGAGACAUCUGCUGGGACACUACUCACUGCCCCAGCAGAGACACGGGCUCCAUGAUUUAAUACAUUUUACGCCAUCCCUUACCAUCCAUCACCUUCUCUGUCAGCAUCAAACUAGACUCUCUUAGAUACCAACACUAGUGAAGCCCUAGAUCUGAACCAUCCUGAAAUUUGAGGGAAAUCUUGUGGCUAAAAUAUUUUUCCUACCUCUGCCACAGGUUUGCCUUAUGACUUUGGGCUUGUCACCUCCCCUCUCCGGGCCUCAGUUUCCCCAUCUGUAUAAAAGGGAUGAUGAUGACCCAUCGCACGAGUAGGGUUGUGACGGUGAGUUCAUCAGUGCAGAGCAGCGCAUUGCCCAAACAAAGCGCCACAUUCUCUAUUACCCAGCAGCCCCUGGGGCCUCUGCCCAGCCAAGCACUACAUUCUAUGUAAAGUGCUUGCCCAUGUAAAAUGCUUGGAGCUUCUCUGACACACGGCACCGAAGGACGAUGGUUGUCUGGAUCCAAAGCUGGAUCUGGAAUUUGCCACCUGCAUCUUUGUAACUGUCACCCAUGUAAUAUAAAUUGUCCAAGGGCUCGGGAGAUUAUACAGCUCGUUGCAACAUCAGCCAGUGCGUGGGAGACACUGGAUUAGUGACUGUCAAGUAGAUAUACUAGAACAAAGCCCCAAUACCUGAGCAUGGUAAUCAGAGCUCUUUGCCUGUGGCUUACUGCCAAGGAGGAAGCAAAUUCCUGGAAAGGGCAGGAAAAUGCCCAAGAGCCCUUGCAGGGUACCAAGCAGGCCUCACUCAGCAAACACUUCAGGAGGAGGAAGUGGGUUCAGGCAUACGCAUGGUCCUGUUUACAUUAUGGGCGCCUCUCCCCAGCCAGGAUUCCUCCUGUCCUAGCUGUGUAUGAUGUCUGAUAACCCGAGUGUUUGCUCUUGCAUAGCUGGGAUGGGAGCUCUCGCCAGCCUCCUGGUACCCUAGCCCCUGAACGCUCAGCUCUGCAGCUGCAAAGCUUCCUGGGAGAGGGCUUAUUCCUCGGGAGUCUUUCAUUGGCUGCCCUGGUGCUCCCAGCCCAUGCCAGCCUGGGGAUCUUGGGAACCAAGCUCUGGCCUCUCUUGCCUCCCCGAAGGAUGUUGCGCUAACUUGGAAGCCUCCCCCGAGGACUGGUACCGUCACCUCACCCUACUGUGCCAAGGACCAGUUGGCGGGAGGUGCUUCUGGGCUGCUCUUACUAAAAUCUCAGCAACAAAUCACAUCUCCUGGAGGCAAGACCAACAAGGGGAAAGGGGAAGUCAGACUAAAGAGAGAGGCCUGCCCUUUCCGUGGGCAUGCUGAGGCAAUCAAUGCCUCUCUGCUCGUUCUCUGCAGAGGAUCCCUGUGCAUCCUCCAUCGAACAAGCCAGCAGCGGGGGCAGGAGAGGGGGUGUUCUCUGGCAUCCUUUGAGUUCACCGGUUGGGGGAAAGCCUGAUGACACUCACAGCACCACCUUCUGGAAGUGCCACCUAGUGUGAGCAACAGGUAAACGGCAGCACCCCAUACCACCUGCCAAUAGACAAUGGCACCAGACAAUAGCGCCCCCCCAUACAUAGCGCUGCCUCCUGAUAGUGCCGUCCAUGGCCCCCUCCUGACAACGGCACGCUGCUUCGACCCCCUUUAAGGCCAGUCCCACCCCUGUGCUUCUCCCAGGCCAGAGAGGCCUCCAGAGAAGCCCCACGUUCCAAUCCCUUGAGGGCCAAGGGGUGUCCGGGUGGCUUGGUGUUUCUUAGCAGCUGAUCCAUGGUGGUUCCAUGGCCUCUUCCGUUGUUUUAUAAUUGUUAUUAUUACUUAGUAUUUGUAUUACUCUGGCACCUAGGAGCCCCAGUCAGAGCCCAGGUACCAGGUGCUGCACAAACAUGGAACAAAAAUCCCAUCCCUGUUUUGACUUCCUGCCCCAUUUGGAAGCUGAACAAGAGAGGGGAAAACCCGCUCCCCAUGGGGGCAUGGCAGAGGAAAGGGAAAACAGCAAGUUCAGACCAUGCCCGACCCACCUAACCCUCUGCCGGGCCCUGGCCUCUCCCCCAGCAUCAACGUGGUGUCUCAGCAGAGGGACAGGGCCAAAGCGCUUCUGAGUGUGUGUAAAUGAGAGAGACUGAGAGCGAGAGAGAGACCGAGAGAGCGACACAGCAAUGCCCCCACCCCUCCCAGCCAAGCCCCCAUCACUCGGACUUCCGACAACGCGCCCAGAGCGCCCGGCCCUGAUGCUGGCGUCAGAUUUAGGCAUCGCUCCCAGCUAGGAUCCCUGCUCACAGCAGAAUCCAGCCUCUCCUUUUCAUUUGAAAGCAUUUUGCCUGGGAGAAGGAAAUACUGAAACCCUAGAUCGGGAUUUGUUUACUAAGCUGUAGUUGAAAAUCCAGGUGUUCUAGGUAAGCUCAUGCCCCCUGAUUGACUUGCUCUGCUGUGACCCCAGUGAAAAAACACUCCCCAGCCUGGCCUUUCAGUCGCUCUCCUGGUGCCUCACCCAGCUCGGGCAGGGUUUUUUUUGUGAAUGUCCCUCUUGUUUUUCACUGCCCAGCUGUGCAAAGGCAGAUGUGUUCUGGGCAGGGAGCACGGGGUUUAGUUCCCCAUGGAUCUGAAACUAAGUCCACUGUCUGUUAACGUGGGUAAGAAAGAUUCCCCACGCUGAGGACGAGGGUGGGUCCAGUUCAAAAUCUGGAGCUGGGAUUUCUGGUGCCCCUUGGCAGGUGUCACCGAUGCUCGAGCUCUGGGUCUCAGAGCCCUGGGGUGUGUCACAGAACAUGGACAUUUCAGGCAGCUUUAAGUGGAGCGCAGCUACUUAACGCAGCAGGUGAGUGCAGGCAGAGGACACCUCCCAGCUGCUGAGGGUUUCUCAGAAGGUACCUGGUGUGUGGCUGAAUAUAGCAGGUCCCUGCCGCGCUGGUGAGUGGACCAGCUGCGUCUGGGUAGAACACACCUGCAGCAGUAGAGAGGUCCAGUGGCAUCCGGAAAUUAACCCUUUGGAAAAUCCCUUUCAUUCAUUCAGCCCUGGAAAUCAGCUCCUUUCCCCGCCCCUGCAAGGAAUGGAGCCUCCCCUAGUGGCUCAAUGUCCCUUUCCUUGUUUCCCAGCCUGGCCCCAGCCCCGUCCUAUCCUGCCCUAGCCACGCCCUAUGGCACAGAAUGUGGCGCUUGAUCAGGUCUUGUUUGCCAGGGCCAGGGAGAAGUUAUUUCCUGGUGUUGGGAGAAUGAAACAAUCUUGGACGGUUGCCCUGAGUGAUGGAUUUGCUCUCGCCACCUUAGGUACAUGGAGGAGUCUCUUCUUUCUUCCUUUGUCUGACAUGCACAAGAAAAAAAGCAAGGGCAAGCCUUGGAACACACAGGCGCCCACACGUUGCUCCUGCAUCCUGGUUGUGGUUGAAGUUAGCUUAGCUGAGGGGAUAUCCCCUCUGACUCCUCCGGAAGGCUGAUGGCCUUUCUCCUUAGGCUCGUGCUUGUCUGCUAUGGGACACCUGCUCCCCACCCCACUAACACCCGAGACUCCUCUGCCCCAUGGCCACACUUGUAAGAAGAGAUGGUGCUGAAGUGCAAGGUUGAAAUGAAGGGAGAUACCACUGAUGGAUUGCAGAUGACGUCUUGGAGUAAAGCAGUAGCCAGCAUCUCCAGUGGCUUUGCUCUUUGGGUUUGGUCAAUCAGUUGAGCUUGGCAUGGAAACCAGUGGGUAGACAGGAUGGGAAAGCUCUGAAUGGGAGCAGAGUCGCUCUGUCGGGGAGCAAAGGAUCAUGAGACCCUUAAAGGCUUGGUUACACCCCGCGGCCUUCUCUAGAUGGCCCAGCAGGCAGACGGCACUUGGAUCAUGCAGCAGCAAGAAACAACCGGACGCGGGGUCAUGCUUUGCCGUGAUGUGAUUUCGCCUGGCUGGAAACAAUCGGACGAACGGUGAAAGAAGAGGGUAGGAGCAGCUGGGACUUUCUGAUCCUCAAGCCAGUGGACGUCUGUCGACACCAUAAAGCCACAGCAGAGUCAAGAGCGUCUGGCUCCGAAGUCCAGGGCUGGAAUGGCAAGGGGGCCUAGUGGUCAGGAUCAAGGUGCGUUGGCAGAGCAGGACAUGAGGAGCCCAGGACAAUGUUGGGGUGGGGGUGGGAAGGGGCUUGAAUGUCAGGAGGAUUGAGGGAGCUCUAGGGAGUGUCUGACCCUAGCUGAGAGGGGCCUUUACUCUGGGGUCAGGGGCCGGACAGCAGGUCGAGCUGGCUCAGUACAAGGUACUUGCUGGACCCUUGGCUGUUUUCAGCCUUGCUGGUGCCGAGCGAAACCCAGAGAUUGCACCUCUGACCUUUACUCUGGAUGUGUCGAGUUAUGGGGAAUGCAAAGGCCUCUGGAAAGGGGUGGCAAAGCAAACCUGAAAGUGCUGGCGAGCAGCGCUGGGCCUCUGGGGUCCGGGGGGGUCACUGGUAGACCAGCCGUCCAGGGCGAGAAGGGAAUAGAACUGAAUGGAGCGUGGCAAAGUCUGGGUCUAGAAUCCAGCCGAUCGCUCUCCCGGGCUGUUCACACGGGACUCCUAUUGCGGCUGCAGCCCAGCACCUAGAAACGGGCCGGGGUUUAUUUGAGCUGUUUUUUCCCCUGAUGAUAAACCCAGAUUCAGUAA